This 92-nucleotide unclassified non-coding RNA is filed under the name Lutibacter oricola. RNAcentral describes it as "Flavo-1 RNA". The record is from RNAcentral. Lineage: Bacteria; Pseudomonadati; Bacteroidota; Flavobacteriia; Flavobacteriales; Flavobacteriaceae.
UAUUAUGCGUUAAGGAUGGAACGGCUUGUUUGAGCUCUUUUUUUAAUGUUUUUCACAAUAAAAAAAAGCGAGUAGAGACAGCCUGACCCAAA